UUUAUUUUCAUUGCUAAGUAUUUUUAGGGGGAAAAAAAUCUUAUUAUUUACUAAGAAAUGGUUAUCAAUGUAAAAUUUUACAAACGAAGCUUUUGUUUCUUACAUUGAGGCAUAAUUUGUCAUCCUUUUUCCCACUCAAAGCAUUUUGAUAAUUUUAUCACUUUGAAGGAGCAUCUACACUGACAGCAGCCAUAAUUGUUAAGUGAAUUUAUUUCACAAGUAUUCUAAAAAAAAAUAUUUUUAUUUUUAUCUCUUUAAUAUGAUAAUAUUGUCUAAAACAAGAUCUGUCAUGUUUUGAAGAAAAGACCAGAAUUGAAGAAUUGUUAAUGAAUUAAAGAAACAAACAUAAGAUAUAUUUUACCAAAUUGUCCAUUUCAGGGGAAGAUAAUUGUCCAAUUCAGGGGGAGAUACACAUAUAUUGAAAUAAAUGAGAUGUGGUAAGAAUGCCAAUGAGAUGUGGUAAAUAUGCCAAUGAGAUGUGCUAAAAAUGCUAAUGAGAUAUGCUAACUGCCAAUGAGAUGUGCUAAAUAUGCCAAUGAGAUGUGGUAACAAUGCGAAUGAGAUGUGGUAAAUAUGCCAAUGAGAUGUGGUAAUAAUGCUAAUGAGAUGUGGUAAAUAUGCCAAUGAGAUGUGGUAAUAAUGCUAAUGAGAUGUGGUAAAUAUGCCAAUGAGAUGUGGUAAUAAUGCUAAUGAGAUGUGGUAAAUAUGCCAAUGAGAUGUAAGAAUGCCAAUGCGAUUUGGUAAGAAUGCCAAUAAGAUGUGGUAAAUAUGACAAUGAGAUGUGCAAAGAAUGCCAAUGAGAUGUAAUAAUGCUGAUGAGAUGUAAUAAUGCCGAUGAGAUGUGGUGAUAAUGCCAAUGCGAUUUGGUAAGAAUAUGCCAAUGAGAUGUGGUAAUAAUGCCAAUGAGAACUAUCCAUCAGAGAUUGAGCCACAAGGCUGAGAGAGUUCUCUUUCUUUUAUGUGAGUUUUAUGUUUACUUUGCAAGCUCCCCUAAGUAACAGCUGAAAUUUUGAAUAACCACUUUUGAAUUAAGAAUGCCAAUGAGAACUUUCCACCAGAGAUUGAGCCACAAGGCUGAAAGAGUUAUCUUUCUUUCAUGUGAAUUUUACGUAUACUUUGCAAGCUCCCCUACAGCUGAUAGUUUACAUUUUCAUCAAAAAAUUAUUAAAAUUACCCUUUCUUUUAAUAAAAUCAUUUUAUAAUUAAACUUUUAUAAAUAAACAUGUAGAAAAAGCUUGCUAUAAAUCUCAAAUUCAAAAUUUUCUGCAAAAAAAUAUAUUAAAUAACCACUUUUGAAUUUUUUUCCAAUUUAAAAAAAAAAUAUACCAGUUAUGGCACGGGGAUAGAAAAAUUAGAAAAGAUGUGUGGAAUCAAAUGGAUGACAACAAUAGUGAAAUGAAAUAUUCUAAUAAUAACCAGUUUUAAAUGUAUUGACUUAAUUGACUUAUUGUAAGAGGAUAUAUGUGACCAGUCAGAAUAGUGGACAAUGAAAUAUUCAAAUGAUAGAACUGACUGAAGUGAAUAGACUUAAAAUCCAGAAUUGAAACCAGCAAGUGAAUUAUUGACACCAGCCUUGGAACCAGCAAGUGAAUUAUUGACAUUCAUAUUGAUGUGACCAGUAUUCAUGUGGAUGGACAGUGCUAGUGGAAUAUAAACUGAUAAAUCUUACAGAUAGGCACAUCACAACCGGGUCUGAAGCUUUAGCAUACAAAAGACAUGAUAUCCAGGAAUUUUUUAAGAAUUGUGUGUGAUCUAUUUCAAGAUCUGAGGACACUAGGACCUGGAAGUACUAUAUUACCAACUUCAAGAUUAACUGUGCUUCGGAAUUUACAAAUCAACUGAUGCAGAAGAAGAGACUUUAAUUUCGCCAUUUAGAUGAACUUGGAAACAAUUAUUGACAAAAAAUAUAGUGUAUUAGUAUUCUUGUUAAAAUCAAUAGAGAAAGAGAGAGAGAGGGAGGAAAGGAGAGAGUCAGUUGUAAAGGUUUAUUUCUUUGUAACCAGACAUGUCGAUUACAUUAGAAUUUCAGAGGCCUACAGUUCUCCCUUAAAUGGUCAUAGUU
Molecule: long non-coding RNA, 2062 nt
Organism: Mytilus californianus (California mussel)
Lineage: Eukaryota; Metazoa; Mollusca; Bivalvia; Mytilida; Mytilidae
Exons: 3
Source: RefSeq, a predicted model, not a curated record